UGUGGGUAUGUAUUUAUGUGUGAGUAUAUGUACAUGUGUGUGGGAUGGGCUGUUUUCAUUAAAACGAUCAGCUUAUUACACAUUAUUA
Molecule: microRNA precursor, 88 nt
Filed under: Mustela putorius furo (domestic ferret)
Lineage: Eukaryota; Metazoa; Chordata; Mammalia; Carnivora; Mustelidae
Description: miRNA (ENSMPUG00000022525.1)
Source: RNAcentral